This is a long non-coding RNA of Oreochromis niloticus (Nile tilapia), 418 nucleotides long. RefSeq lists it as uncharacterized. The transcript is spliced from 3 exons. NCBI's taxonomy places the organism in Eukaryota, Metazoa, Chordata, Actinopteri, Cichliformes, Cichlidae. The record is from RefSeq and is a predicted model, not a curated record.
CAGCCAGCCAGAGAAUCCCCCGCCGCCUCGCCUUCUCCUCCCUGUGCCGCAAGCAGCAGGCGCACCUCGCAAACCGAUUGUGUAAAUUUUAUUUUUGUAAAAAAAGGUUCCACAUGUCACUGUUGAAGUGGGGCAUUAAUCAGUGUGACACCACUUGUAAACAUGCUGCAGGUGUGGGGGUUCCCAGCCAGAGCUGCAUGGACUCCACACUGCAUCCGUUUAUGUGUUCCCUACUUGUGCUAAACAGGGAUGAGGAGAGGCCUGCUGUUGCUGCUUGACACUGAUUUUGCUGCUGCACUUUGUCUUUUAGAGCUGCAUGGACUCCACACUGGGAUGAGGAGAGACCUGCUGUUGCUGUGUGACACCGAUUUUGCUGCUGCACUUUGUCUCUUAGAAAAUAAAUCCAGUUUUCAACCAC